RNAcentral lists this ribosomal RNA (197 nucleotides) under uncultured bacterium. RNAcentral describes it as "partial 16S ribosomal RNA". It matches the Rfam family "Bacterial small subunit ribosomal RNA", at positions 335 to 524 of the family's 1533-position model. The record is from RNAcentral.
ACUCCUACGGGAGGCAGCAGUGGGGAAUAUUGGACAAUGGGUGAAAGCCUGAUCCAGCAAUACCGCGUGUGUGAAGAAGGCCUGCGGGUUGUAAAGCACUUUCAGCUGGAAAGAAACGGUCACGGCUAAUACCCGUGGCUAAUGACGGUACCAGCAGAAGAAGCACCGGCUAACUACGUGCCAGCAGCCGCGGUAAU